Molecule: ribosomal RNA, 1227 nt
Filed under: Dermacoccus nishinomiyaensis
Lineage: Bacteria; Bacillati; Actinomycetota; Actinomycetes; Micrococcales; Dermacoccaceae
Description: bacterial SSU rRNA
Rfam family: Bacterial small subunit ribosomal RNA
Source: RNAcentral
CACUCUGGGAUAAGCCUGGGAAACUGGGUCUAAUACUGGAUACGACCGAUCUCCGCAUGGAGUGUUGGUGGAAAGUUUUUGUGGUGGGGGAUGGACUCGCGGCCUAUCAGCUUGUUGGUGGGGUAAUGGCCUACCAAGGCGACGACGGGUAGCCGGCCUGAGAGGGCGACCGGCCACACUGGGACUGAGACACGGCCCAGACUCCUACGGGAGGCAGCAGUGGGGAAUAUUGCACAAUGGGCGAAAGCCUGAUGCAGCGACGCCGCGUGAGGGAUGACGGCCUUCGGGUUGUAAACCUCUUUCACCAGGGACGAAGCUAACGUGACGGUACCUGGAGAAGAAGCACCGGCUAACUACGUGCCAGCAGCCGCGGUAAUACGUAGGGUGCGAGCGUUGUCCGGAAUUAUUGGGCGUAAAGAGCUUGUAGGCGGUUUGUCGCGUCUGCUGUGAAAGACCGGGGCUUAACUCCGGUUCUGCAGUGGGUACGGGCAGACUAGAGUGUGGUAGGGGAGACUGGAAUUCCUGGUGUAGCGGUGAAAUGCGCAGAUAUCAGGAGGAACACCGAUGGCGAAGGCAGGUCUCUGGGCCAUUACUGACGCUGAGAAGCGAAAGCAUGGGGAGCGAACAGGAUUAGAAUACCCUGGUAGUCCAUGCCGUAAACGUUGGGCGCUAGGUGUGGGACUCAUUCCACGAGUUCCGUGCCGCAGCUAACGCAUUAAGCGCCCCGCCUGGGGAGUACGGCCGCAAGGCUAAAACUCAAAGGAAUUGACGGGGGCCCGCACAAGCGGCGGAGCAUGCGGAUUAAUUCGAUGCAACGCGAAGAACCUUACCAAGGCUUGACAUACACCGGAAUCAUGCAGAGAUGUGUGCGUCUUCGGACUGGUGUACAGGUGGUGCAUGGUUGUCGUCAGCUCGUGUCGUGAGAUGUUGGGUUAAGUCCCGCAACGAGCGCAACCCUCGUUCCAUGUUGCCAGCACUUCGGGUGGGGACUCAUGGGAGACUGCCGGGGUCAACUCGGAGGAAGGUGGGGAUGACGUCAAAUCAUCAUGCCCCUUAUGUCUUGGGCUUCACGCAUGCUACAAUGGCCGGUACAGAGGGUUGCGAAACCGUGAGGUGGAGCUAAUCCCAAAAAACCGGUCUCAGUUCGGAUUGGGGUCUGCAACUCGACCCCAUGAAGUCGGAGUCGCUAGUAAUCGCAGAUCAGCAACGCUGCGGUGAAUACGUUCC